This 60-nucleotide transfer RNA is filed under the name Allonychiurus kimi. Its description in RNAcentral is "tRNA-Arg". Lineage: Eukaryota; Metazoa; Arthropoda; Collembola; Poduromorpha; Onychiuridae. The record is from RNAcentral.
UCUUAAGAAGCGAAACACGCAUCUAGUUUCGGCCUAGAUUUUGGUUAAUUUAACCCUUAU